RNAcentral lists this transfer RNA (89 nucleotides) under Pseudomonadota bacterium. Its description in RNAcentral is "tRNA-Ser". It matches the Rfam family "tRNA". Rfam says of the family: Transfer RNA (tRNA) molecules are approximately 80 nucleotides in length. RNAcentral also lists the same sequence under 1 other name. Lineage: Bacteria; Pseudomonadati; Pseudomonadota. The record is from RNAcentral.
GGAGAGAUGUCCGAGAGGUCGAAGGAGCUCCGCUCGAAACGGAGUGUCCCCUUUGGGGACCGGGGGUUCGAAUCCCUCUCUCUCCGCCA